GACGAACGCUGGCGGCGUGCUUAACACAUGCAAGUCGAACGGAAAGGCCCUGCUUUUGUGGGGUGCUUGAGUGGCGAACGGGUGAGUAACACGUGAGUAACCUGCCCUUGACUUUGGGAUAACUUCAGGAAACUGGGGCUAAUACCGGAUAGGAGCUCCUGCUGCAUGGUGGGGGUUGGAAAGUUUCGGCGGUUGGGGAUGGACUCGCGGCUUAUCAGCUUGUUGGUGGGGUAGUGGCUUACCAAGGCUUUGACGGGUAGCCGGCCUGAGAGGGUGACCGGCCACAUGGGGACUGAGAUACGGCCCAGACUCCUACGUGAGGCAGCAGUGGGGAAUAUUGCACAAUGGGCGGAAGCCUGAUGCAGCAACGCCGCGUGCGGGAUGACGGCCUUCGGGUUGUAAACCGCUUUCGCCUGUGACGAAGCGUGAGUGACGGUAAUGAGUAAAGAAGCACCGGCUAACUACGUG
RNAcentral lists this ribosomal RNA (468 nucleotides) under uncultured bacterium. RNAcentral's name for it is "partial 16S ribosomal RNA". It matches the Rfam family "Bacterial small subunit ribosomal RNA", at positions 28 to 507 of the family's 1533-position model. The record is from RNAcentral.